This 72-nucleotide transfer RNA is filed under the name Hymenobacter sp. RNAcentral's name for it is "tRNA-Ala". It matches the Rfam family "tRNA". From Rfam's summary of the family: Transfer RNA (tRNA) molecules are approximately 80 nucleotides in length. Lineage: Bacteria; Pseudomonadati; Bacteroidota; Cytophagia; Cytophagales; Hymenobacteraceae. The record is from RNAcentral.
GGGGGCGUAACUCAGUGGUAGAGUGGCACCUUUGCACGGUGUAAGUCGUGGGUUCAAGUCCCACCUCCUCCA